This 105-nucleotide ribosomal RNA is filed under the name Acanthosepion pharaonis. The record is from RNAcentral. Lineage: Eukaryota; Metazoa; Mollusca; Cephalopoda; Sepiida; Sepiidae.
GGCCAUAUGACGUUGAAACACCAGUUCUCAUAUGAUCACCAAAGUUAAGCAUUGUCAAGCCUGGUCAGUACCAAGAUAGGUGACUGCUUGAGAAUACCAAGUGCU